UUAAACUUAACGCUUUUCAUCACUCUAACACACACUACUUCAGCCAGAGGGUCUUCAUUGCAUACCUCCAACCCUAACCCCAUGGCCCUCCAAGUCUCUAACCCCAUCGCGCCUCCAACCCGAACGCCAGAGAUUCAUCGCGCUUCCGUCGAGCUUGGCUACCGUCAUCUUCGUCUUCCUCAUCUCCUCCUCGUGACCCAGACCCAGAAAGCCCUAGCCCUCCAUCUCUUCUCUCUUCUUCAAGCUGUGUCGCAGCCGCCGUCCUAGUGCCGCCGUUCCAUCGCCACUUCGAACCCUAAGCACCAGCCCGGGUUCUUCUCCUCCUCUGCUCUCUCACUCUUCCUCCGAUUACACAACACACCAACCUAGAUCUAUUCUUAUCUUCUCGAUUCUCAGAUCCAAGAUCUUGAUGGCUUAGGGAAGAUAUGAUAUGAGGAAUUACAUGCCCAAAGUUGGUUCCCUUGGUCUUGACAUGAUGUUCAGAACAUGUACUGUACAGGUCAGGCUGAAGAGGUAUUUGGAGAUGAGAGGUGCUUGGAGGGCCAUGGAGAAGGUUAUGUGCCUUACCAGCACUUUGGUUUUCAGGCUAAAGGAAUGAAUUACUUGCAUACAAGCAAUCCUCCCAUUGUCCAUUGAGAUUUGAGGUCUCCAAAUCUUCUUGUUGACAAGCAUUGGGUUGUUAAGGUGGAUAUGACAAAGAAUAAAAGGCCGCGAGAGCUUAUGAUUUGGCAGCUUUAAAGUAUUGGGGUCCCACUGCUACCAGCAACUUCCCUGUAAAGGCAUCACCAAGGUAGGUGGCAAGCAAGAAUUGGCCGCAUUGCUAGAAACAAAGAUCUUUACUUGGGAACAUUCACAACUGAAGAAGAAGCUGCUUAGGCAUAUAAUAUAGCAGCUAUAAAGUUCCAAGGUGGAAAUGCAGUAACCAACUUUGAGAUGAGCAGGUACGAUGUUGAUGCCAUAAUGAAAGAGCUAUCUUCCUCUUGGCGGCGCGACAAAACGCUUGAAACUCUCCCUAGAAUCAGAACAGAAUUUUUUGAAAUCAGAGUUUUGAACUCAAGUUUUAUUUUGUAUUUGAAUAUUAGUUUUUUGAUGUAUAAAAUAAUUAUAGAAAAAUUAUGUCACUAAUUACUGUUUGAUUUGUCUUGUAAUAAAAAUUGCACACUAUAUUUAUAAGUUUGGUAAAAAAA
Long non-coding RNA from Arachis stenosperma, 1187 nucleotides. RefSeq lists it as uncharacterized. The transcript is spliced from 7 exons. Lineage: Eukaryota; Viridiplantae; Streptophyta; Magnoliopsida; Fabales; Fabaceae. The record is from RefSeq and is a predicted model, not a curated record.